Molecule: ribosomal RNA, 645 nt
Filed under: Triticum aestivum (bread wheat)
Lineage: Eukaryota; Viridiplantae; Streptophyta; Magnoliopsida; Poales; Poaceae
Description: partial small subunit ribosomal RNA
Source: RNAcentral
AUGGCACAGUGGCCUACUCCGACCAACGCCACUGAGCUUCGCGCGUCCCUUGGGCUCACCGGCUACUACCGCAAGUUCGUGCCGCACUACGGGAUCAUCGCCAAGCCACUCGCGCAGCAGCUCACCAAGAAAGGCUUCAAGUGGCCCGAGUCCGCGCAACGCGCGUUCGGCACGCUCAAGGCGGCGAUGGUGACCACGCCGGUGCUCGCCCUCCCCGACUUCGACAAGCCCUUCUCAAUUGAGACGGACGCGUGCAACACGGGCAUUGGUGUGGUGCUGGUGCAAGACGGCCACCCCAUUGCCUACUACAGCAAGGCGCUGGGAGUGAAGAACCAGAAGCUUUCAACUUAUGAGGAAGGAAUUUCUGGCGGUAAUGAUGGCCGUGGACAAAUGGCGCUCUUAUCUGCAACGCGGGCCGUUCACCAUCGUCACCGACCACAAAAGCUUGUGCACGCUGGGCGAUCAGCAGCUGGUGACCGACGUCCAGUGCCGCGCGAUGUCGAAACUCGUCGGCCUGCAGUUCAAGUUUCAGUACAAGCGCGGCAUCGACAACGGCGCAGCCGACGCGCUCUCCCGCGUGGGCAGCCACUUCAGCGCCAACGCGUUGUCGCUGUGUCAGCCCGCGUGGAUCCAGGAGGUGGCUAA